AACGAACGCUGGCGGCAGGCUUAACACAUGCAAGUCGAGCGAAGACUUCGGUCUUAGCGGCGGACGGGUGAGUAACGCGUGGGAAUAUGCCCUUCACUACGGAAUAGCCCAGGGAAACUUGGAUUAAUACCGUAUACGCCCUUUUGGGGAAAGAAUUUCGGUGAGGGAUUAGCCCGCGUUGGAUUAGGUAGUUGGUGGGGUAAUGGCCUACCAAGCCGACGAUCCAUAGCUGGUUUGAGAGGAUGAUCAGCCACACUGGGACUGAGACACGGCCCAGACUCCUACGGGAGGCAGCAGUGGGGAAUCUUAGACAAUGGGGGCAACCCUGAUCUAGCCAUGCCGCGUGAGUGAUGAAGGCCUUAGGGUUGUAAAGCUCUUUCAGCUGGGAAGAUAAUGACGGUACCAGCAGAAGAAGCCCCGGCUAACUCCGUGCCAGCCGCCGCCGUAAUAC
Molecule: ribosomal RNA, 451 nt
Filed under: uncultured bacterium
Lineage: Bacteria
Description: bacterial SSU rRNA
Rfam family: Bacterial small subunit ribosomal RNA
Source: RNAcentral